Molecule: ribosomal RNA, 301 nt
Filed under: uncultured bacterium
Lineage: Bacteria
Description: partial 16S ribosomal RNA
Rfam family: Bacterial small subunit ribosomal RNA
Source: RNAcentral
CAGUCGCCGCGGGAAUACGUAGGUCCCGAGCGUUGUCCGGAUUUAUUGGGCGUAAAGCGAGCGCAGGCGGUUAGAUAAGUCUGAAGUUAAAGGCUGUGGCUUAACCACAGUACGCUUUGGAAACUGUUUAACUUGAGUGCAAGAGGGGAGAGUGGAAUUCCAUGUGUAGCGGUGAAAUGCGUAGAUAUAUGGAGGAACACCGGUGGCGAAAGCGGCUCUCUGGCUUGUAACUGACGCUGAGGCUCGAAAGCGUGGGGAGCAAACGGGAUUAGAUACCCGCGUAGUCCCUGUCUCUUAUACA